Molecule: ribosomal RNA, 469 nt
Filed under: uncultured bacterium
Lineage: Bacteria
Description: bacterial SSU rRNA
Rfam family: Bacterial small subunit ribosomal RNA
Source: RNAcentral
AACCAGACUCCUACGGGAGGCAGCAGUGAGGAAUAUUGGUCAAUGGGCGGGAGCCUGAACCAGCCAAGCCGCGUGAGGGAAGAAGGUACAGCGUAUCGUAAACCUCUUUUGCCGGGGAGCAAGGGCGGGGACGUGUCCCGGCCCGGAGAGUACCCGGAGAAAAAGCAUCGGCUAACUCCGUGCCAGCAGCCGCGGUAAUACGGAGGAUGCGAGCGUUAUCCGGAUUUAUUGGGUUUAAAGGGUGCGUAGGCGGAAUGCCAAGUCGGGGGUAAAAUCGCGGGGCUCAACCUCGCUCCGCCGUUGAAACUGGCGUUCUUGAGUGGGCGAGAAGUAUGCGGAAUGCGUGGUGUAGCGGUGAAAUGCAUAGAUAUCACGCAGAACUCCGAUUGCGAAGGCAGCAUACCGGCGCCCAACUGACGCUGAAGCACGAAAGCGUGGGGAUCGAACAGGAUUAGAUACCCCUGUACUU